This 292-nucleotide ribosomal RNA is filed under the name uncultured bacterium. RNAcentral's name for it is "partial 16S ribosomal RNA". It matches the Rfam family "Bacterial small subunit ribosomal RNA", at positions 505 to 796 of the family's 1533-position model. The record is from RNAcentral.
GUUACAGCCGCCGCGGUAAUACGUAGGUGGCGAGCGUUAUCCGGAAUUACUGGGUGUAAAGGGCGUGUAGGCGGGUUGGCAAGUCAGAUGUGAAAUCCCAUGGCUUAACUGUGAGGCUGCAUCUGAAACUGCUGAUCUUGAGUAUCGGAGAGGAAAGUGGAAUUCCCAGUGUAGCGGUGAAAUGCGUAGAUAUUGGGAGGAACACCAGUGGCGAAGGCGACUUUCUGGACGGUAACUGACGCUGAGGCGCGAAAGCGUGGGGAGCAAACAGGAUUAGAAACCCUCGUAGUCC